AACGAACGCUGGCGGCAGGCUUAACACAUGCAAGUCGAACGCCCCGCAAGGGGAGUGGCAGACGGGUGAGUAACGCGUGGGAAUCUACCCAUCUCUGCGGAAUAGCUCCGGGAAACUGGAAUUAAUACCGCAUACGCCCUACGGGGGAAAGAUUUAUCGGGGAUGGAUGAGCCCGCGUGGGAUUAGCUAGUUGGUGGGGUAAAGGCCUACCAAGGCGACGAUCCAUAGCUGGUCUGAGAGGAUGAUCAGCCACAUUGGGACUGAGACACGGCCCAAACUCCUACGGGAGGCAGCAGUGGGGAAUAUUGGACAAUGGGGGCAAGCCCGAUCCAGCCAUGCCGCGUGAGUGAUGAAGGCCUUAGGGUUGUAAAGCUCUUUCACCGGUGAAGAUAAUGACGGUAACCGGAAAAGAAGCCCCGGCUAACUUCGUGCCAGCCGCCGCCGUAA
This 447-nucleotide ribosomal RNA is filed under the name uncultured bacterium. RNAcentral's name for it is "partial 16S ribosomal RNA". It matches the Rfam family "Bacterial small subunit ribosomal RNA", at positions 29 to 523 of the family's 1533-position model. The record is from RNAcentral.